This is a non-coding RNA of Potamilus streckersoni, 64 nucleotides long. The record is from the annotation of a GenBank genome assembly. NCBI's taxonomy places the organism in Eukaryota, Metazoa, Mollusca, Bivalvia, Unionida, Unionidae.
AAAGUCUAGUGGUUAGGGCGUCCGCCUCGGAUGCGGAGGUCGCGGGUUCGAACCGCGGUAAAGU